AUUGAACGCUGGCGGCAGGCCUAACACAUGCAAGUCGAGCGGAUGAAGGGAGCUUGCUCCUGGAUUCAGCGGCGGACGGGUGAGUAAUGCCUAGGAAUCUGCCUGGUAGUGGGGGAUAACGUCCGGAAACGGGCGCUAAUACCGCCUACGUCCUGAGGGAGAAAGUGGGGGAUCUUCGGACCUCACGCUAUCAGAUGAGCCUAGGUCGGAUUAGUUAGUUGGUGGGGUAAAGGCCUACCAAGGCGAGGAUCCGUAACUGGUCUGAGAGGAUGAUCAGUCACACUGGAACUUAGACACGGUCCAGACUCCUACGGGAGGCAGCAGUGGGGAAUAUUGGACAAUGGGCGAAAGCCUGAUCCAGCCAUGCCGCGUGUGUGAAGAAGGUCUUCGGAUUGUAAAGCACGUUAAGUUGGGAGGAAGGGCAGUAAGUUAAUACCUUGCUGUUUUGACGUUACCAACAGAAUAAGCACCGGCUAACUUCGUG
This 484-nucleotide ribosomal RNA is filed under the name uncultured bacterium. RNAcentral describes it as "partial 16S ribosomal RNA". It matches the Rfam family "Bacterial small subunit ribosomal RNA", at positions 30 to 507 of the family's 1533-position model. The record is from RNAcentral.